This 407-nucleotide ribosomal RNA is filed under the name uncultured bacterium. RNAcentral describes it as "partial 16S ribosomal RNA". It matches the Rfam family "Bacterial small subunit ribosomal RNA", at positions 30 to 526 of the family's 1533-position model. The record is from RNAcentral.
AUUGAACGCUGGCGGCAGGCCUAACACAUGCAAGUCGAAUGGAGCGGCGGACGGGUGAGUAAUGCCUAGAAAUCUGCCUGUGAGUGGGGGAUAACGUCCGGAACCGGGCGCUGAUACCGCAUCCUAUCAGAUGAGCCUAGGUCGGAUUAGCUAGUUGGUGGGGUAAAGGCCUACCAAGGCGACGAUCCGGAACUGUUCUGAGAGGAUGAUCAGUAACAUUGGAACUGAGACACGGGCCAGACUCCUACGUGAGUCAGCAGUGGGGAAUAUUGCACAAGGGGGGCAAGCCUGAUGCAGCCAUGCCGCGUGUAUGAAGAAGGCCUUCGGGUUGUAAAGUACUUUUAGCGGGGAGGCGUUACCCGCAGAAUAAGCACCGGCUAACUCCGUGCCAGCAGCCGCGGUAAUAC